Molecule: ribosomal RNA, 253 nt
Filed under: uncultured bacterium
Lineage: Bacteria
Description: partial 16S ribosomal RNA
Rfam family: Bacterial small subunit ribosomal RNA
Source: RNAcentral
UACAGAGGGUGCAAGCGUUGUCCGGAUUGACUGGGCGUACAGCGCGCGCAGGCGGAGGCGUAUGUGCCGUGUGACAGUCGGGAGCUUAACUCCCGCCGGCCACGGUAGACAGCGCUCCUGGAGGCAGGGAGAGGGAUGUGGAAUACCCGGUGGAGCGGUGAAAUGCGUAGAGAUCGGGUGGAACACCAGGGGCGAAGGCGACAUCCUGGCCCUGACCUGACGCUGAGGCGCGAGAGCGUGGGGAGCGAACCGG